GAUGAACGCUGGCGGCGUGCCUAAUACAUGCAAGUCGAGCGAACAGAUGAGGAGCUUGCUCCUCUGACGUUAGCGGCGGACGGGUGAGUAACACGUGGAUAACCUACCUAUAAGACUGGGAUAACUACGGGAAACCGGAGCUAAUACCGGAUAAUAUAUUGAACCGCAUGGUUCAAUAGUGAAAGACGGUUUUGCUGUCACUUAUAGAUGGAUCCGCGCCGCAUUAGCUAGUUGGUAAGGUAAUGGCUUACCAAGGCAACGAUGCGUAGCCGACCUGAGAGGGUGGUCGGCCACACUGGAACGGUGACACGGUCGGGACGCCUACGGGAGGCAGCAGUAGGGAGUCUUCCGCAAUGGGCGAAAGCCUGACAGAGCAACGCCGCGGGAGUGAUGAAGGUCUUCGGAUCGUAAAACUCUGUUAUUAGGGAAGAACAAAAGUGUAAGUAACUAUGCACGUCUUAACGGUACCUAAUCAGAAAGCCACGGCUAACUAC
RNAcentral lists this ribosomal RNA (494 nucleotides) under uncultured bacterium. RNAcentral describes it as "partial 16S ribosomal RNA". It matches the Rfam family "Bacterial small subunit ribosomal RNA", at positions 28 to 504 of the family's 1533-position model. The record is from RNAcentral.